GUAGGGAAUAUUGGGCAAUGGAUGGAAGUCUGACCCAGCCAUGCCGCGUGCCGGAUGAAGGCGCUCUGCGUUGUAAACGGCUUUUAUUCGGGAAGAAGAGUAGGGAUGCGUCCUUAUGUGACGGUACCGAAUGAAUAAGCACCGGCUAACUCCGUGCCAGCAGCCGCGGUAAUACGGAGGGUGCGAGCGUUGUCCGGAUUUAUUGGGUCUAAAGGGUGCGUAGGUGGCUUAAUAAGUAAGUGGUGAAAUACGGUUGCUUAGCAAUCUAGGUGCCAAUGAUACUGUUAGGCUUGAAAUAAUUGGAGGCUGCCGGAAUGGAUGGUGUAGCGGUGAAAUGCAUAGAUAUCAUCCAGAACACCGAUUGCGAAAGCAGGUUGCUACGAUUUAUUUGACACUGAUGCACGAAAGCAUGGUGAGCAAACAGGAUUAGAAACCCUAGUAGUCC
This 445-nucleotide ribosomal RNA is filed under the name uncultured bacterium. Its description in RNAcentral is "partial 16S ribosomal RNA". It matches the Rfam family "Bacterial small subunit ribosomal RNA", at positions 354 to 796 of the family's 1533-position model. The record is from RNAcentral.